CUAUGCGCCUUGCCAGCCCGCUCAGUCAGAGUUUGAUCCUGGCUCAGAUUGAACGCUGGCGGCAAGCCUAACACAUGCAAGUCGAGCGGCAGCGAAAGAAAGCUUGCUUUCUUGUCGGCGAGCGGACAAACGGGUGAGUAAUAUCUGGGAAUCUAACCCAAAAGGAGGGGGAUAACUCUAGAAAUGGUAGCUAAUACCGCAUAAGUUGAAAAACCAAAGUGGGGGACCUUAAAAGGCCUCAUGCUUUGGAUGAGCCCAGAAGAGAUUAGCUUGUUAGUAAGGUAAAAGCUUACCAAGGCCACGAUCUCUAGCUGGUCUGAGAGGAUAACCAGCCACACUGGAACUGAGACACGGUCCAG
This 359-nucleotide ribosomal RNA is filed under the name uncultured bacterium. Its description in RNAcentral is "bacterial SSU rRNA". It matches the Rfam family "Bacterial small subunit ribosomal RNA", at positions 1 to 334 of the family's 1533-position model. The record is from RNAcentral.